CACACUUGGUACUUACUGUGUGCCAGACACUGUUCUAAAUACCUUAUAGACAUGAACUCAUUUAAUCCCUAGAACAACUCUGUCAGUUCUAAAAUGGACACGGUCACCAGAGAGAGAACAAGAAGACUGGAGGCCCCCAAAGAGAACUACAGAGAAGCUAUUUGAGGAGGAUGCCACUUCUUAUGGAACCCAUUUUUCCUGGAGACACUCAGUGUUGGCCGAUUUAGAAUAAAAACCAUUAGUAGAUCAC
Odocoileus virginianus texanus is the source of this 250-nucleotide long non-coding RNA. RefSeq lists it as uncharacterized. The record is from RefSeq and is a predicted model, not a curated record. NCBI's taxonomy places the organism in Eukaryota, Metazoa, Chordata, Mammalia, Artiodactyla, Cervidae.